Molecule: long non-coding RNA, 237 nt
Filed under: Sorghum bicolor (sorghum)
Lineage: Eukaryota; Viridiplantae; Streptophyta; Magnoliopsida; Poales; Poaceae
Description: long non-coding RNA (SBIC_LNC003307)
Source: RNAcentral
UCUUUAUGGAUAACUCAAAUUCCACACCUAUUAUUGAAUUUUUUGCACCUUCGGAGACCAGCCAUAGACCAUGGGAGUCAACAAGUCCUUUCUUUGCCCCUAAUUAUGAUCUGUGUCCGGAGUUGAUUGCAAUAGGUCAAAACCAACCCUUUUCUAUAGCCGAGGUCCUAUCUUUUAAUCAAGAAGAUAAUGAACUUUUAGCUACACCUUGGGAAUCUUUUAAUCUUUCUAUAAAUU